AUGGGAGAGGCUCCGAAAUCCACCCAAAUCAUCGAUCUCCAGCCCCCCGGGGGGUCCCUGCGCCUCCUCUGCCGCGCCUCGGGCUUCGAUUUCGGGAUCUACGACAUGGCAUGGGUGCGACAGAGGCCCGGGCAGGCGCUGGAGUUCUUUGCGUGGAUCAGGAACGAUGGUGGCACCAACACCAGCUACGCUGAUUCGGUGCGGGGCCGGUUCAGGAUCUCCAGGGCCAACGGGCAGAGCUCGGUGACGCUGACCAUGAACGGCCUCAAGGACGAGGAUUCCGGCUCCUAUUUCUGUGCCAAAAACGCUGGUGCUGGUUUUUGGGGUGAUCAUGCCGACAGCGCGGUCCCGGCAGAGGGGCCAGGCCCAGCUCAGGAGCCAAAACGGCCCCGAGCGGGCCCCGGGCUGA
This is a non-coding RNA of Vidua chalybeata, 409 nucleotides long. NCBI's taxonomy places the organism in Eukaryota, Metazoa, Chordata, Aves, Passeriformes, Viduidae. The record is from the annotation of a RefSeq genome assembly.